UGGAUGUGGUAUAUUAGUAGCAACAGUAUGUUGGGGCUGUUUAUCCAUUUCUUCAGCAACAUGUUUAGGCAGCCAUUGUUUUACCUCUCUGCCUCGUCUAUGAGCACCCUCUAUAACCUGGUUUUGUCUCCCUUGAGGUUGAUUAUCCCUUGGUUCUUCACGUCAACAUACAUGGCCAAACCUUGUACAUUUUUUGCAAAAUAUAGGUUUCCAGUCAUAAGCCACCUGCUGGUUGUUAAUCUUUCCACUGGGAUCAGAAAUCUCAACCACAUCUGGUAGAUCUUGAGUCACGUUCAUCUCUACUAAAGACUCUAGCGUAGGACACUGUACUUUGUUUUGUAGUACAAGCAUCAGCAAAUAAUGGCCUCCCUAAUCGGCUAGUAAUUUUGCUAAGAGCCUCCGCUCCCC
This 408-nucleotide long non-coding RNA is filed under the name Capsicum annuum. RNAcentral describes it as "long non-coding RNA (CANN_LNC012257)". Lineage: Eukaryota; Viridiplantae; Streptophyta; Magnoliopsida; Solanales; Solanaceae. The record is from RNAcentral.